This 358-nucleotide ribosomal RNA is filed under the name uncultured Anoxybacillus sp. RNAcentral's name for it is "bacterial SSU rRNA". It matches the Rfam family "Bacterial small subunit ribosomal RNA", at positions 1024 to 1382 of the family's 1533-position model. The record is from RNAcentral. Lineage: Bacteria; Bacillati; Bacillota; Bacilli; Caryophanales; Anoxybacillaceae.
ACGAGGGUGACGAGGUGGUGCAUGGUUGUCGUCAGCUCGUGUCGUGAGAUGUUCGGGUUAGGUCCCGCAACGAGCGCAACCCUCGACCUUAGUUGCCAGCAUUCAGUUGGGCACUCUAAGGUGACUGCCGGCUAAAAGUCGGAGGAAGGUGGGGAUGACGUCAAAUCAUCAUGCCCCUUAUGACCUGGGCUACACACGUGCUACAAUGGGCGGUACAAAGGGUCGCGAACCCGCGAGGGGGAGCCAAUCCCAAAAAGCCGCUCUCAGUUCGGAUUGCAGGCUGCAACUCGCCUGCAUGAAGCCGGAAUCGCUAGUAAUCGCGGAUCAGCAUGCCGCGGUGAAUACGUUCCCGGGCCUU